This is a long non-coding RNA of Peromyscus californicus insignis, 3001 nucleotides long. RefSeq lists it as uncharacterized. The record is from RefSeq and is a predicted model, not a curated record. Lineage: Eukaryota; Metazoa; Chordata; Mammalia; Rodentia; Cricetidae. The transcript is spliced from 4 exons.
CUUCGCGCAGGCGCAACCUCGUUCUUUCCGAGGUCCGCCGCCGCGUGUGUGGAAGUCAUGGCUGCUUCUGUCCGCCGUGCACUCACUGAACAGGCUAGGGCUUGGGGUGUUGGCAUGCCUUUGGCACCGGUUGAGACGUUGGGAAGCAGAGCUGGAGGUUCCAUCCCAGAAGUAAUGGCAGGAUCCCUAAGCAUAAACAGACCGGUGUGGCCACCAGUAAGACGGUGGAGAUAGAUGGUGGGCAUCUGCUUCAUGCGGUAGUUCUGAAGUUCAGCUGUAAGAACACAUGUUGAACCAUGAGUCCAUUUCGAUUGGAGUUGGCUCCUGGAGACAUCAUCAUAAGAUGUGGUACGUAAGGAUCUUCAUGGUGAUGCUGUGUGUGGUAAGAGCUUCAUAGAAUUGCAGGGUUGUGGUUGCCUAGAAGGAUUGGUCUGUUAGAUUUGGGGUUGUAGGUGUUGCAGGAUGUAAUUGCUCAGAGAAGGGAAGAAACAUGGAGUCUCUCCUCUCUGCUCUUCACUUAGUGCUUUCAUAAGAGGUAAAAAGUUUGUGAACACAAAAUUAUUCCCCACUCUGCUGCCACGUAGACUGAGGCUUAGGGGAUUAUGCUCAGAGUUAUAUAAGCAGCUGUUGGCUUCCAGGGGACAUCUUAAUUGAUGCUGGAUGACUGUCCUUCAAGGCACAGGGCAGCCAUUAUAAGGACUUCUGCACCCAGCAUGUCAGUACAGCUGAAGUUAAGAAACUCGUAGAAAUUGCAUUUUAUAUAGGUUUUUUUUGGGGGGGGGGGAGUAGAGAUCAACCCUUUGAACCUGAGCCUUGUGCAUUCUUAGAGAUUGUUUCUUUUGUAUGUGAGUGUGCCAUGGCGUGUGUUUGCCAGUAAGUUUUUUCUCUCCUUUACACACUGAGGCGAAAUUGCAUUUUAGAUGAACUAAAGAUUUGGGCCUGCUGGCUGAUAGUGACCCAGAGCCUUGAAUCUUUUGUAAAGCAGAAUUAGUGGUUCCCAAACCUGGACGUAUCUCAGAACACCUAAAAAGUGUUUCCUGGGUCCACGUGGACGAGAAUGGUUCGAGAAUGGACUCCAGAACCUUGUAGGAGGUCUAAGAACAGGUGUGCAGAAACUAUUCGAUGAUCUGUUCUACUGUGAGUUUAGGAUUCUCUUACAGCAAGAGUAGAGGGCUGGCUGUUUUUAAGAGGCUCUUGGGAUAGAUUUCUUUUUCUUUUUCUUUUUUUUUUUGAGACAAGGUUUCUCUGUGUAGUCCUGGCUGUCCUGGAACUUGCUCUUGUGGACCAGGAUGGCCUCAAACUCCCAAAGAUCCACCUGCCUCUGCCAAGUGCUGGGAUUAAUGUGAAGGUAUGUGCCAUCACUGCCCGGUUUGGGGUAGAUUUCUAAUCUCAGUCUUUAAAAACUGAAAGCCGGGGCUGGAGAGAUGGCUCAGAGGUUAAGAGCACUGCUUGCUCUUCCACAGGUCCUGAGUUCAACUCUCAGCAACCACAUGGAGGCUCAUAACCAUCUGUAAUGAGAUCUGGCGCCUUCUUCUGACCUGCAGGGACACAUGCAGGCAGACACUGUGUACAUAAUAAAUAAAUAAAUCUAAAAAAAAAAACUGAAAACCACAUGCUUACUCUUGCACAUGUAGAUGGGGGAGGAGAAACUACGAUGUCAUCUUUUGGUAGUGGGUAUGAUAAAUGGUUGUCUUUCAGUAGGUCAGCUGAAGUAAUGGGUGACCUAAACCAUUUUGGGCAUUCCGAUGAUAGGUCGGAAGGACUUGUCAAAGACUCUGGUUCAGCAACCAGACAGAUGCUGCUGGGAGUGACCUUUUUCUACCCCUAAGGUCUUACCAUGUAGCCUGGGUUGGCCUUGAAUUUGCUAGGUUGGGUCCAGUUGUGCCUUGGCUUCCUUAAUGUUGGUGACCCUGGGCUGGAGAGAUGGCUCAGAGGUAAAGAGCACUGACUGUUCUUCCAGAGGUCCUGGGUUCAAUUCCCAGCAACCACAUGGUGGCUCACAACCAUCUGUAAUGAGAUCUGGCACCCUCUUCUGUAUACAUAAUAAAUUGAUAAAUCUUUAAAAAAACAAUAAAUGUUAGUGACCCUGUCUUUAAGAGGACAGGAGUAGCCAGGGAAAUGGUUCAGUGGUUAAGAAUACCUGCUUUUGGUGAGGACCUGGGUUCAUUUCCCAGUACCUGCUUCAGGCAGCCAACUGUAAUUCCACUUCUAGGGGAUCCAAUGCCCUCUCCUGGUCUCUAAAGGCACCAGGCACACACGGUCCACGUAUGUAGUCAAAACAUACACAUAGAAACUUUUUUUUUUUUUUUUCAAGACAGUUUCUCUGUGUAGCUUUGCGCCUUUCCUGGAACUCACUCUGUAGACCAGGCUGGCCUCGAACUCACAGAGAUCCGCCUGCCUCUGCCUCCCGAGUGCUGGGAUUUAGGUGUGCGCCACCAUCGCCAGGCAUAGAAACAUCUUUUUAAAAAGCUUUUAAAAGUGUUCUCAUGCUCAAAGGCUGGCAGUUCUGUGGGAGCUGAGUCCAUGAUGAUGUAAAGUUAUCCCUGUCUGAAGGUCAAGAGGCCUUUCUGUGUGGAAUGUGGAUAUCUGAAACUCAGCUUCCCAGGCGACAGGCAGACUCUGAGCGGUUUUUCAGUGAGUUGCUUUAGAGUUACCUUGUGUUUCCUUAUCACCAGGUGCAGGCUGAAUCUCUGGGGCAAAAAGGGAUGCUACAGCAGCCACACAGGUUAUUGCCCUGUAGUGCCCUGCCGCCGCCGCUGCUGCCCUUAAUCUCCCAGAGAGUGUCAUCAGAAGACCUUGGAGUUUGAUCUGCAAAAGUAGCCAGCAGAGUUAAGUGACUGCGAUCACCCUGGGAAGCCUCUGGCAGCUACUGAGUGCUCUCAGUUGGAGGCACUGGGGAGGCAGGUGCUGUAUCUGAAAAAGCAUUUCUCACAGUGGAUUUCCUGAGAAGUCAGGGUUGGGCUUUGUGUUUUGAAGCACAAAUAAACUUUAUAAAAUUUAA